Molecule: ribosomal RNA, 497 nt
Filed under: uncultured bacterium
Lineage: Bacteria
Description: partial 16S ribosomal RNA
Rfam family: Bacterial small subunit ribosomal RNA
Source: RNAcentral
GAUGAACGCUGGCGGCGUGCCUAAUACAUGCAAGUCGAGCGAACGGACGAGAAGCUUGCUUUUCUGAUGUUAGCGGCGGACGGGUGAGUAACACGUGGAUAACCUACCUAUAAGACUGGGAUAACUUCGGGAAACCGGAGCUAAUACCGGAUAAUAUUUUGAACCGCAUGGUUCAAAAGUGAAAGACGGUCUUGCUGUCACUUAUAGAUGGAUCCGCGCUGCAUUAGCUAGUUGGUAAGGUAACGGCUUACCAAGGCAACGAUGCAUAGCCGACCUGAGAGGGGGCCAGGGCACCUGGGAAGGGGCACACGGUCCAGACCCCUACGGGUGGCUGCAGUCGGGAACUUGCCGCAAUGGUCGAAGACCUGACGCAGCACCGCCGCGUGCGGGAGGAAGGGCUUCGGCUCGUAAAACUCUGUUAUUAGGGAAGAACAUAUGUGUACGUAACUGUGCACAUCUUGACGGUACCUAAUCAGAAAGCCACGGCUAACUACGUG